This 305-nucleotide ribosomal RNA is filed under the name uncultured bacterium. Its description in RNAcentral is "bacterial SSU rRNA". It matches the Rfam family "Bacterial small subunit ribosomal RNA", at positions 340 to 662 of the family's 1533-position model. The record is from RNAcentral.
CUCGGGAGGCAGCAGUGGGGAAUAUUGCACAAUGGGGGAAACCCUGAUGCAGCGACGCCGCGUGAGUGAUGAAGUAUUUCGGUAUGUAAAGCUCUAUCAGCAGGGAAGAUAAUGACGGUACCUGACUAAGAAGCUCCGGCUAAAUACGUGCCAGCAGCCGCGGUAAUACGUAUGGAGCAAGCGUUAUCCGGAUUUACUGGGUGUAAAGGGAGCGCAGACGGCAGGGCAAGUCUGAUGUGAAAGUCCGGGGCUCAACCCCGGGACUGCCUUGGAAACUGUCCGGCCCGAGUGCAGGAGUGGUAAGG